RNAcentral lists this ribosomal RNA (430 nucleotides) under uncultured bacterium. RNAcentral describes it as "bacterial SSU rRNA". It matches the Rfam family "Bacterial small subunit ribosomal RNA", at positions 355 to 776 of the family's 1533-position model. The record is from RNAcentral.
UGGGGAAUAUUGGACAAUGGGGGCAACCCUGAUCCAGCGAUGCCGCGUGUGUGAAGAAGGCCUGAGGGUUGUAAAGCACUUUCAGUGGGGAGGAGGGUACGCAAGUUAAAAGCUAGAGGUACUGGACGUUACCCACAGAAGAAGCACCGGCAAACUCCGUGCCAGCAGCCGCGGUAAUACGGAGGGUGCGAGCGUUAAUCGGAAUUACUGGGCGUAAAGAGUGCGUAGGCGGCAUAAUAAGUUAUUUGUGAAAUAUUUGGGCUUAACCUAGGUGCUGCAAAUAAUACUGUUAAGCUAGAGUAUGGUAGAGGGUAGUGGAAUUUCCGGUGUAGCGGUGAAAUGCGUAGAGAUCGGGAGGAACACUGGUGGCGAAGGCGGCUACCUGGACCAAUACUGACGCUGAGGUACGAAAGCAUGGGGAGCAAACAGG